UGCGUAGGCGGAAUAUUAAGUCAGUGGUGAAAUCCUGCGGCUCAACCGUAGAACUGCCAUUGAUACUGAUAUUCUUGAAUGUAGUUGAGGAAGGCGGAAUGUGUAAUGUAGCGGUGAAAUGCUUAGAUAUUACACAGAACACCGAUUGCGAAGGCAGCUUACUAAACUAUGAUUGACGCUGAGGCACGAAAGCGUGGGGAGCGAACAGGAUUAGAUACCCUGGUAGUCC
This 229-nucleotide ribosomal RNA is filed under the name uncultured bacterium. Its description in RNAcentral is "partial 16S ribosomal RNA". It matches the Rfam family "Bacterial small subunit ribosomal RNA", at positions 568 to 796 of the family's 1533-position model. The record is from RNAcentral.